GAUCAACGCUGGCGGCGUGCCUAACACAUGCAAGUCGAACGAUGAAGAUUAAAAGAUUUCUUCGGAAUGAACUUAAUUGGAUUAGUGGCGGACGGGUGAGUAACGCGUGAGUAACCUGCCUUGUACAAGGGGAUAGCCGUUGGAAACGACGAAUAAUACCCUAUGACAUCAAAUAAUCGCAUGAUAAUUUGAUCAAAGAUUUAUCGGUAUAAGAUGGACUCGCGUCUGAUUAGCUAGUUGGUAGAGUAAAAGCCUACCAAGGCAACGAUCAGUAGCCGGCUUGAGAGAGUGUACGGCCACAUUGGGACUGAGACACGGCCCAGACUCCUACGGGAGGCAGCAGUGGGGAAUUUUGCACAAUGGGGGAAACCCUGAUGCAGCGACGCCGCGUGAUUUAGAAGGCCUUCGGGUUGUAAAAAUCUUUUGUAUGGGAAGAAAAUGACAGUACCAUACGAAUAAGGACCGGCUAAUUACGUG
This 477-nucleotide ribosomal RNA is filed under the name uncultured bacterium. Its description in RNAcentral is "partial 16S ribosomal RNA". It matches the Rfam family "Bacterial small subunit ribosomal RNA", at positions 28 to 507 of the family's 1533-position model. The record is from RNAcentral.